RNAcentral lists this long non-coding RNA (713 nucleotides) under Parus major (Great Tit). Its description in RNAcentral is "lncRNA (ENSPMJG00000016229.1)". The record is from RNAcentral. Lineage: Eukaryota; Metazoa; Chordata; Aves; Passeriformes; Paridae.
GACUCAAAAAGGAAGUCAACUGAGAUCAUCAGCAGCAGCAUUUCUUCAGUGCCUAUGCAAUGCUGCUCCGCUCAGGCCGUAUAAAGCCGUAUCAAAUGCCUCGCCAGAGAAGGCAGCCCGUGAAGAAGAAAUUUCUGCUUGAACGUAUGAGAACAGCUCCUGGAAAGCCAGUGUUUAGUCUGCGAAAAACAGUGAAAUGUUAUAUCCUAACCGAAGAUUCAAAAACCGUGCAUUUUGAUAUUGAUGAAGAUGGUCAUCAUGAAAUAUGUACCAAGGAUUCACAAUCCCAUGAAGAUAUUGCGUGGUUAAGUGUGUUCACAAGGAACGAAGCAGCAGUUACUGAUUCUAAAAAUUUGGUGAUCCUCACACAGAGAUCAAAGCUAAAUGAAUUUGUCCUGUUGUGCAAGGGUAAGAAGCAUCUCUCUCUGAAGGUCUUAAAAGCAUCCUGUUCAGAGCCAGAUUGUCCUUCAGUGGAGAGAUGCAAUAUGAAAACAUGCAACCAUGAAGAUCCUGACUUUAAACAGCUGAGUGAAGAUAAUAACUUUUUCAUCAUGCAUUACCAAGGAGAUUCAGUGCAGUUCCAAUGCUAUGAAGACAGAAGUUACUAUCUGUGUGUGAACAACGACUCACUUGAUAUUCGCAAGCUGGAAAACAAAGAGCCCAACGAGGACAAAAAUUUUUACUUCAGGGUGUCAUAUUUACAGGAAAAGUAA